This 424-nucleotide long non-coding RNA is filed under the name Vulpes vulpes (red fox). Its description in RNAcentral is "lncRNA (ENSVVUG00000010345.1)". Lineage: Eukaryota; Metazoa; Chordata; Mammalia; Carnivora; Canidae. The record is from RNAcentral.
CUCAACUGUUUAGCAAUGUGCCAGGACUAGAGGACAGCUAAGACCUCCGAGUUGAGACUGCAAGUCAUAAAGGACUUUGUGAGGUAUGGUACCCCUGCAACCUAGCACAGUGCAUAGCAUGUAGAAGACCCUCAUUAAACAUUUCUUAUCUGAAUGAAAAUGUUACAAAAUGCAUUGUGAAAUACCUACAAUGUCGAAAGAAAGGUAUGAAAGUGGAUUUUCUCUGAAGACACACUUCUGGAGAGCUGAAGGAAUAAACAAAACCAAACUACUACCCGAUUCGGCAUGCAAACUGUUACCUCAAGAAGGAAAGAAGAAAAUGGAAUGCAAAAACCAUUGUGUCUAAACAUUGACCAGAUGUGUGAAAAACUUAUUUUAAUGAGGGGCACUGUGACUCACUAAGCAGUAAAACUUGAGUCCUGAU